CUUCUCAGGCACAGACCACGUUUUAAGCACAUCAAUCAUCUCUUUCUGCUGUUUCUCCAAGAGGUGAAAUAUCGUAAGGUUUUAAAGCCUCCUGCUAACACCAGCAGCUGCAAUGCUCUUCUAUUCCAAGAGAGAGAGGUUUUACAAGCAGUGAUUACAAAGCUGUACCAGAGGCUGCAGAAGACCAAGCUGCAAAGAGAAGUAGAAUGCAUGAACUGGAGGAUUUUGACAAGCAAGUAAUGACUGCUUCUGACUUGGCAGAGUGAAGAUCUGUGGAUUGUAAUGAGCAGAUGGAGGAAUCUUGUUUGAAAUAUGGAUGAAAGAAUCUGAAAAUUCAAGCAUAAUGUGAAAUUGGCUCUUGCAUAGAUAGAGUCAAACCCUUGUUUUUGUCAAGAAAAAUGGCAGAAAUUCUUACUUCUGUCCUUUGAUGACAUAAAAAUAAAAAUUCUAACUAUGGAACAUGAUUCAAGAAAAAGCAGAAAAGAUGCACCAGUUGGUCCACAUGAUAAUAGGCCCAGUGAAUGUUUUGUGCUGUGAGUAGCUAUAUUGUCAAUAAAUACAUGUAAAUACUUAGGAAAACCAGGAUUAAGUAAAAGGUAAAACUGUUUUCAAAUAUUUGCACUUGCUGAUGCAAAUCUAACUCCAAAGGGAAAUAGCUUUCAGUAAUUAGUUCCAGAUGUACUUGUAAAAGUUACAAUGAAAAGGUAAUUAUGUUGUAAACAGUGGGAAUGCUUUUCUUCAUCAAAGUGAGAGU
Non-coding RNA from Struthio camelus australis, 754 nucleotides. NCBI's taxonomy places the organism in Eukaryota, Metazoa, Chordata, Aves, Struthioniformes, Struthionidae. The record is from RefSeq and is a predicted model, not a curated record.